This is a long non-coding RNA of Erinaceus europaeus (western European hedgehog), 420 nucleotides long. RefSeq lists it as uncharacterized. Lineage: Eukaryota; Metazoa; Chordata; Mammalia; Eulipotyphla; Erinaceidae. The record is from RefSeq and is a predicted model, not a curated record. The transcript has 3 exons.
CGGCGGUGGCUCUUGGCAGGCCACCCCUCGGCUCCCUGGAGGCGGCGCGCCCUCUGCUGGUCCAUCUCUCGUCUUGCAUCUGGCGCAGGCAGGGGCUGCUGAGAGAACCUUCAGUCCUGGUAGAUGUGACUGAGAAGCAGAGUUUCCUCAAGAAUGAAGAAUAAGCCAUGUUCAACAGUAGAUGGGGUGACCUGUUUGUAGAGUUUCCUCUGGCUGAAGACCCUGGGGAAAAAACACAAAGGAGCAAGAUCUCACUCCAUCAUGAUCCUUCCUAGACUUCUGCCAUCCUGUUAAGGAAGACAGGACAAGCUUACUAGGACAUGAAAUAAAUCAUGAACUCCCUUGACAGUGUAGGUCAGUGUUUCCCAAUCUUUUUGUAAACCCAUGCCCACUUUGGAUAAAUGUUACAGUUUCAUGAUA